RNAcentral lists this ribosomal RNA (460 nucleotides) under uncultured bacterium. RNAcentral describes it as "partial 16S ribosomal RNA". It matches the Rfam family "Bacterial small subunit ribosomal RNA", at positions 338 to 795 of the family's 1533-position model. The record is from RNAcentral.
CCUACGGGAGGCUGCAGUGAGGAAUAUUGGUCAAUGGACGAGAGUCUGAACCAGCCAAGUAGCGUGAAGGAUGACUGCCCUAUGGGUUGUAAACUUCUUUUAUAUGGGAAUAAAAUGUUCCACGUGUGGGAUUUUGUAUGUACCAUAUGAAUAAGGAUCGGCUAACUCCGUGCCAGCAGCCGCGGUAAUACGGAGGAUCCGAGCGUUAUCAGGAUUUAUUGGGUUUAAAGGGAGAGUAGGUGGAUUGUUAAGUCAGUUGUGAAAGUUUGCGGCUCAACCGUAAAAUUGCAGUUGAAACUGGCAGUCUUGAGUACAGUAGAGGUGGGCGGAAUUCGUGGUGUAGCGGUGAAAGGCUUAGAUAUCACGAAGAACUCCGAUUGCGAAGGCAGCUCACUGGACUGCAACUGACACUGAGGCUCGAAAGUGUGGGUAUCAAACAGGAUUAGAUACCCCUGUAGUC